GUUGUAUUGAAUAUACUUUUGGUACAAUUUUACAAGUGUUACUUAAUUUUUAUAAUUCGUGUCUAUACCGAAGUAUGUAAUUUCACAUGAUUAAUCAUGAAAAAUUAUUUUAAAAAUCCCUUAAAAUUACGUACAAGUUAGCAACUACAUGUUACAGUACGGCCUUCAACAAUGAUUAAAACCAUACGCAUAAGCACCCGUCAUAGCAAGUGUUAAACAAUAGAUAAAAAUUGAGAAUGGAAAUGAAGAAUAUUUCAAAGAGCCAACAAUCCGAC
Molecule: long non-coding RNA, 275 nt
Filed under: Mytilus galloprovincialis (Mediterranean mussel)
Lineage: Eukaryota; Metazoa; Mollusca; Bivalvia; Mytilida; Mytilidae
Source: RNAcentral